AUAUUUAAUUUUUCUAGUUGUUUUUCAGUCGAACACCCUUUUGAGAUUGAUGUUUGCAUUUUUUACAACUAACAAUCCAAGCAUCGGAAUAAACCAAAAAAAAUAAAAUAAAUAUUUUUGUUAACUGAAUGUCAUAAAAUAUUAAGCAAAAGAAAAAUGUAUAUAAAAAAAGUGUGAGGAAAGAUUACCGUAAAUAAUACUCUGAAAUGAAAUACUUUUAGAGUUGCUGAGGAAAAAUACAGGGUUGAGGGUUUUGUAUUCAACAUGAUUUUCUACUCUUUUAUUAUUUUUACUGAUAUAUGUGUAUGUCUCUCUUUGUAUGCUUUUGUGACUAAUAAAAACUUCUUGAGAAA
Carassius carassius (crucian carp) is the source of this 353-nucleotide long non-coding RNA. RefSeq lists it as uncharacterized. The record is from RefSeq and is a predicted model, not a curated record. The transcript is spliced from 2 exons. NCBI's taxonomy places the organism in Eukaryota, Metazoa, Chordata, Actinopteri, Cypriniformes, Cyprinidae.